GGGUAUAGCUCAGUGGUAGAGUGCAUGCUUAGCAUGCACGAGGUCCUGGUUCAAUCCCCAGUACAUCCU
This 69-nucleotide transfer RNA is filed under the name Camelus ferus (Wild Bactrian camel). It matches the Rfam family "tRNA". From Rfam's summary of the family: Transfer RNA (tRNA) molecules are approximately 80 nucleotides in length. Their secondary structure includes four short double-helical elements and three loops (D, anti-codon, and T loops). The record is from Rfam by way of RNAcentral. Lineage: Eukaryota; Metazoa; Chordata; Mammalia; Artiodactyla; Camelidae.